This is a long non-coding RNA of Oncorhynchus tshawytscha (Chinook salmon), 810 nucleotides long. The record is from Ensembl. NCBI's taxonomy places the organism in Eukaryota, Metazoa, Chordata, Actinopteri, Salmoniformes, Salmonidae.
GCUGGGUGGGUUGGUUUAGUGCGCUGGGCUGGGUGGCUUGGUUUGUAGGGUCUGGGCUUAGUGGCUGGGUGUCUUGGUUGGUGUUUGGGGGGUCUCGGCCCUCAGUCUUUCCAGGGUUCCGAGUGGUGGUGGGUCAGAUGAGGUCAGAGGGUCCUGAAGAACACAGGCCAUGAAGAUAAACAGAGAGGGGAGAGAGAAACAGAGAGGAGAGAGACAGAGAUAAACAGAGAGGAGAGAGAAACAGAGUGGGGAGAGAGAAACAAAGAGGAGAGACAGAGAUAAACAGAGAGGAGAGAGAAACAGAGAGGAGAGAGACAGAGAGAAACAGAGAGGAGAGAGAAACAGAGAGGAGAGAGACAGAGAGAAACAGAGAGGAGAGAGACAGAGAUAAACAGAGAGGGGAGAGAGAAACAGAGAGGAGAGAGACAGAGAUAAACAGAGAGGAGAGAGACAGAGAUAAACAGAGUGGGGAGAGAGAAACAGAGAGGAGAGAGACAGAGAUAAACAGAGAGGAGAGAGACAGAGAUAAACAGAGAGGAGAGAGAAACAGAGAGGAGAGAGACAGAGAUAAACAGAGAGGAGAGAGAAACAGAGAGGAGAGAGACAGAGAUAAACAGAGUGGGGAGAGAGAAACAGAGAGGAGAGAGACAGAGAUAAACAGAGAGGAGAGAGACAGAGAUAAACAGAGUGGGGAGAGAGAAACAGAGAGGAGAGAGACAGAGAUAAACAGAGAGGGGAGAGAGAAACAGAGAGGAGAGAGACAGAGAUAAACAGAGAGGGGAGAGAGAAACAGAGAGGAGAGAGAGAGAG